ACUCCUACGGGAGGCAGCAGUGAGGAAUAUUGGACAAUGGGUGGAAGCCUGAUCCAGCCAUCCCGCGUGCAGGAAGACGGCCCUAUGGGUUGUAAACUGCUUUUAUCUGGGGAUAAACCUACUUACGUGUAAGUAGCUGAAGGUACCAGAAGAAUAAGCACCGGCUAACUCCGUGCCAGCAGCCGCGGUAAUACGGAGGGUGCAAGCGUUAUCCGGAUUUAUUGGGUUUAAAGGGUCCGUAGGCGGACUGAUAAGUCAGUGGUGAAAUCCGACAGCUUAACUGUCGAACUGCCAUUGAUACUGUUAGUCUUGAGUAAGGUUGAAGUGGCUGGAAUAAGUAGUGUAGCGGUGAAAUGCAUAGAUAUUACUUAGAACACCAAUUGCGAAGGCAGGUCACUAAGUCUUAACUGACGCUGAUGGACGAAAGCGUGGGGAGCGAACAGGAUUAGAAACCCCGGUAGUCCCAUGA
RNAcentral lists this ribosomal RNA (469 nucleotides) under uncultured organism. RNAcentral describes it as "partial 16S ribosomal RNA". It matches the Rfam family "Bacterial small subunit ribosomal RNA", at positions 335 to 800 of the family's 1533-position model. The record is from RNAcentral.